AUUGAACGCUGGCGGCAUGAUUUACACAUGCAAGUCGAACGGUAACAGGCCGCAAGGUGCUGACGAGUGGCGAACGGGUGAGUAAUGCAUCGGAACGUGCCCAGUCGUGGGGGAUAACUACUUGAAAGAGUAGCUAAUACCGCAUACGAUCUAUGGAUGAAAGCGGGGGACCGUAAGGCCUCGCGCGAUUGGAGCGGCCGAUGUCAGAUUAGGUAGUUGGUGGGGUAAAGGCUCACCAAGCCAACGAUCUGUAGCUGGUCUGAGAGGACGACCAGCCACACUGGGACUGAGACACGGCCCAGACUCCUACGGGAGGCAGCAGUGGGGAAUUUUGGACAAUGGGCGCAAGCCUGAUCCAGCAAUGCCGCGUGCAGGAAGAAGGCCUUCGGGUUGUAAACUGCUUUUGUACGGAACGAAACGGCUCUGGUUAAUACCCGGGGCUAAUGACGGUACCGUAAGAAUAAGCACCGGCUAACUACGUG
This 482-nucleotide ribosomal RNA is filed under the name uncultured bacterium. RNAcentral describes it as "partial 16S ribosomal RNA". It matches the Rfam family "Bacterial small subunit ribosomal RNA", at positions 30 to 507 of the family's 1533-position model. The record is from RNAcentral.